Molecule: non-coding RNA, 35484 nt
Organism: Callithrix jacchus (white-tufted-ear marmoset)
Lineage: Eukaryota; Metazoa; Chordata; Mammalia; Primates; Cebidae
Source: RefSeq, a predicted model, not a curated record
CCCUUUCCGGUCCUCAUUCUAGAACUUUCCUGAGGAAGAAAUCUAUUUCUUUUGGGGGGAGGGGUUCCCCAUUUCAUGCCUUCAGAUAAUGAAUGCUUAAUUCACCCCCUCCCUUUCUCUACUCCCCAAAAUGAAUAAAGGAAGCAGGAAUACAGUAACUAGUGAAAAUUGAGAAUAAACUAUGCUGGCUCUCACAGUUUAAUACAAUUUUAACUAAUGGAUUUUUGUUUUGUUUUGUUUUAAGAGAAGAAUAAUGGGGAAAUGCUGAUCUUUUAUUUUAGGAAACUGUUAUGGUAAGAUGUAUGUCAGACUUGACAAAUGGAACUAACGCUCUUCGGCUGCUUCUUGUCCUUGUCUUAAACAGGAAUUAAGUUAAACACAGUGCUGAAUGUUAAUUACAUGUUUACUGGCUAAUGAAAAUUACAAAUGGUUUUGCCACCUCAAACAAUGAUGAAAACUCUGAAGACACUGUAAUUAUAUACUUUGAGCAAAAUAACUCAGAAUAUUGAUCAUAAGAAGUGUAAAUCUUUUUUAACUAUUCAUUAAUACCAUAAAUAUGGGCUAGAGAAGUUUUUCCUUGCGGUUUGUCUCAUCAGUUACACUGAGUGGAUGGAUGGUGAGGCUCCUCUGGGGAGGUGGUGAACUCAUUCUCUUAGUAGAAGGAGGCCACUUGUGUAACUCGGGGGUGCCCCCUCCCUUUCGCCCCCGCCCCCUUCAUCCCCAGCCGAAGGUCGAGGAAGAGUUGAACAGGAAGGCCGAGCUCAGGGCAGGUGAAGGUGAUCACAGCCUGGCCUUUCCCUUCCCUCCCUGUCCACCUCGCUUCUCUCCCUCCUCCCUUUCCUGCGAGUUCUGAUCGAUUUGACCGCCUUCCCCAGCUUGGGCACCAGUGGGAUAGCCUGGCAUCCGGGGGUUCCUAAUGGAGGACUAGUUAGACCAGGAAACUCACCCCACCCACAACCCAACCAUGCCCUGACAACUUAAAUUCCCUUCUUCAGAGAUGGCUCAGGCAGUUCAUUGCAAAAGAAGGGGAAAAAAUAUUAGGGAUGGAGGUUGCUAUUGGGUAAGGUGGCUCAGGCGGCUGAACCAGAACUGGUUUCCCUGGGUUUGGGAGCAGAGAAAAUUUUUUGUUAUGGUUUUCUUUUAACUUUCGCCAGAGUUGUAGUGCUGGCAUCCACUCCGAUCUCGGAGGUCAAAGGUGAAGGCUGCACUGACCCUAAAAGGUUGUGCUGGCCUGGCCACAAGGCUGACAGGGCAGGGGAGUGGGGUUUUGUCAGCCUUACAGCUUGACACUUUGGAAGGGGCAUCUAGGAAACCCAUACUUGGGGGGCACAGCGUCAAGUGUAAGUUUUAAGUGAAAUAUUGAGGAUUUUUUUUUUAAGUGCCCUAGGCUUGUGGGACUAGAGUACUCUUUUUCCCUGAGAAUUCCCAAGGCGCUGGUCUUUGUCUUAGAAGGAAUGGAGUUUCUGAAUGGUGUGAAAGGGACAGAGAGGGUCGCUUCAAAUCGAUUUUACUUGUCCUUUCUGUCUUUUCGGAUCAACGCCCUUCAAUGGGCACAGAGGUGCUCUUUCAACCAAAAACUUGUGCUACAUUUUCUGCCUGUAUUGGUGCUAAAUACAAUAAGCACUGGGCAGGUUUUUUUUUUUUUUUUUUUUUUCUUUGCUCUCCAAAGCAAGAAAGCACCCUAAUUAAAUUGUUUUAUAUGGACAGUCAAGACGGACCAAUUAAGUAUGCAUUAGUAUAAAGAUAUAGUCUGCAGAUAAGGUUGUUUAGAAAAUCAUGUGUAGGACAAAGGAGAGGGCGCUAGCAUUUUGGAGAGAUGCCUAGACCCAGCAAGGUCAUGCACCGUCCUCCUUGGGCCCCAGGGGAAUUGCAGAGGCCCCGGGCCCCAGGUGAGAGGGGAACCAGCUGGCUAACAGGUGGGCGAGAUUGUCGGAGACUUUCGGGCCGGAAGCCCUGGCCCAAGAGUGGUGGAGUCUGACGGAUCGGGAUUCCUCACAUCUUACUCUGGAAACGUAGCAGACCAAGGUGGUGGGUCCAGUAGGACCUGGCAGGACCCUGUAGUGCCCUACUCCAUGUCUAGCUUACUGCCCGAAGGCUCAGGUCCUGGGUGCGCCUCUGCACUAGUGAAAUCGUCUGCGCCCCGGGGUGGCCAGGAGGGCCAGGGGAUACCGAUGGUGUCACAGCCAGUAUCAGGGCAGGAGGCCUCCACCUAACAUCUCCAAGCUAAGCGCUUUUUCUUGUCUUAGGAAAGGGGAGCUUUUCUGCAAGGAAAGUAACCUUCCCACCUGACGCCAUCCGACCCCCUGGACGUCGAGGAUCGGUCUUUAGAGUAGGGAAAAGGCCGAGGGGUCGAAGAAAGGGUAGCAUGGAGCGCAGCUCGUCGUUCAGCUGAUGCAGCUCUGGGCUUCUCCACCCCCUCUCCUCCCUCAGAGGUGUGGGAGGGCGGAAAGCAUCUCUCCUGGAAGGAGCCGACCCCCAGAGUAGCGGCCCGGGCCUCCCAGCGUCGCAGCUCAGGGCUGUGAUAGGUGGUUCCCCGGGCCGAGGGGGCGCGAGUGCCGCGCGCUGCCUCGGGAAGGACUCUCGGGGCGCACAGGGCAACCCUUAGUAGCGGGGGAGGGAGAAGUGGGGCUAGAAUUAGAGCCUGGGGAAGUGGCUGAAUGUCAAAAGUAAAAGGUUGAAAAGCCAAUUUUCCAGGCGCGCUUUCGCCCCCCUUUGCUGGUUGCAGGGGCCGUAAAUCAGUGGCCGGCGGCGAGGGCGGGAGGAGCCCCCUCGGCGAGCUCUGCGCGGCCCCGCCCGGACCGUGCGCACCUCCCGGUGGGCUCCGAAUCGAUCCGAAGCCUAGCUGAGGAUGUCACCGCACUAAAUAUUUACUGAUCACACACAAAUAGCCGAGACUCGAACGAUUUUCCUCUGUGAGGAGAGCGCGGAGAGAAGGGUAAAUCAUUUUAUUAGUGUGGAUAAAGCCCAGAGCACACUCCGGGCUGGAGUGUUUUAAGAUGUGUCUUCAACAGGAUGAAAAGAGUUAGGGAAAUCGAUACCGAGUGAUUAGAAGCCCCCGGGGUGACGAAGGGGGACUGGGCUUUCAGGGAUUUGGCGAGGCUGAGAGGGGGGCGCAGGCCUCUAGGGGGGCGGCCCAACCACCGCCAGGGAGCUCCCGGGCCCAGGCCUCCAUCCCUCCCUCCUCGACGGGAGACGCGAGGGCGCAGCAAGCUGCGGAGAGUCCGCCGCGGCCAGGCUUCGUGGUACUGCCGCUGGGUGACGGCUGUGCGGGCUGCCGCAGGGCCGAUGGCUCGGGAGCCACUGGUUUCACGCCGCUAGUGGCCGUGGCCAGGUGGCUGCGGGAGUGGAUUGCAGACGCGGCAUGGGGAUGCGUGCAGGUCCCCCACACGCUGUCUCUCCAAACAGCCUCGGGGAGGAAAGGUGUGGCCUAAGCGGGUUGCAUUUCUCCUGCUGGCAUUUUGGAUACUCCCCGCCGCGAUCCGAAGCACCCUCGAACUUUCUCCCGCAAAAAUCUCUACCUAUCCUGUCUUUUCAUAUUUUUUUCAAGAGGUCUCAGUGGCCCGUCCCCACCAGUUGCCUCUUCUUCCCACACACUCGGUGUCGAGGGCGGCCGCCGGGUGGCGGAACCCGCUGGGGACUGCGGGGCGAGUGGAUUCUAGGUUCGCUGCUCGUGGGCAGGUGGGACGACCUCUGAGGCCGAGCAGGAAGGCAGGGGGCAGGGUGACAGACACCCAGGAAGUCUCCGUCCUCUCCAAGGCGGGAACUCCACUUUGGGGAUAUCAGGCCACCCCCCCCCCACCUCCCCCAGUGUUGGAAACCUGUGGGGGGGGGGGCGCUUAGGCUGGGUGCUGGGAACCCAAGUGGCCACAAGUAAAGGCUGGUAGGGCUCGCUGAAGUUAGCAAGGCUUUGAGGGGAAUUUGCCGGGAGGGAAAGCAAAACACCCCCAAACUCAAGCAGCGAAGUCCUGGCGCGAAAAUGGCUUUUCACUUCUCCAAGCGCAAGUCUCGCUCGCUACUGUGAACAAACCUUGAGGUUCGAAACGGCUGCAAAUAAUCAAGUAGGCGCAAAUUUCGGGAGGGGAAAGGAGGGGCGAAAGGAUUUUUUCACUCGUCAUUACAUAAAUAAAGAAGAUGAUGAUGAUACUAACACAGCUAACAUUUACGGUAUACCAGAACUGUGGCUCCAUAAUGGAAUCAAGAAGUCAUGGAAUCCUAUGCUUGGAAGUUUGGAGGGCAUUGGUCCAACUUCCCACUGAACCCAGAGUUCUGAAGAUGGGCAGAUGAUCAGGUGCAGAUGGAGCAAUUUUCAGGACUUGCAGAUUCAAGGAAGGUCCCCUGUUCCUCUGGGAAUCAUCCUGUACACCACAUCUUCACAAGGGUGGAUCUCUCGCCUUCGUGGGACCACUGGACAUCUGGCAGAGAACCAGAAAACCACUCUUCCCUUCUAAUGAAAAAAAUACAUGGCAUACAUCAUCAAGAAUCAAAGGUUGUGCCUGGCAGUAUAAUUGACUCUGUAAUAAAGAGAGAAGCUUCGCUAGGAGCCAGUUGUCCAGCACAGUGUCAUGGGACAGUGGGCCCUGGUGUCACAUGUCCGGCAUCUCCACCAGAUACAGCUUUGAGAUCUUCGUGAUGAAGCUUGCUCCAAUCCAAAGGCUUUCAGGCAGAGUUUGCUGUUCAGUUGCUAACCUUUCUUUGAGACAGGGACACUUGGAAUAAGGACAUCUUUAUCUGUUGAUGCCCCUGGAACGACUUCCCUUCAGCAGACCCUUCCCUGGCUUCAAGGCUCUGGAAAAUAUCAAUAUGAAAUUGAGUGAGAUGCUUCACUGAGCCACCCCCUAUGCUGUUAUCCUUAGGAAGACAAAGGUUAAACUCUAUUUUACUAUCCUGAAGAAGUAAAGAUGGAUGCCCUUCUCUAAUGAGCUUUUCCAGCAAGCAGAGAGGCACUGUGUUCCUGCACCUGGUUAUUAUACUGUCUCCUUCAGAAUCUCUCUGGGACAAACCGGUUUCUAUUGCAAGACCUUCUAUACUGAAGCACUUGUUUAUAUUAAGGCUUCACUAUCCAAAUCCUGUCUUCACUGGCUUCAAGAAUCCUGUCUUCACUGGCUUCAAAACUGGGAUGAAGGAGGCUCCUUAGUGGAGAGGAAACCAAAGAGGUGUUUGCAGUCAGGAAGGUAAAUCAAGAUGCUGAAGGUUUCCCUGAGGAAGAUAGUAAGUGCUGACUCCCUUGGGGUGAUCUGUGAAGAGGAUAAAGAAUAAAGCAACCAGAGACUGUGGCCUUUGGGUUUCUGCCCUGCUGAGAAAUGACAAAUAGAAUCCCAGCCAGCUGGAAGCUCUGAUUCACAGAAACAGGGGAGGUCAUGUGAAAUAUGAAGUCAAACAGAAAGAGCUACAUUGGAGAGUUGCUAAGUUUUCUUCUAAAACUUGUUAAUCUUGAUAUUGGGGAGUGGACUGGACUUCGGUGGAAUCUGCUAGAAAGCAUUUUAAAAUCACAUCUGUUCCUGCAGUAGAGAUAAGGUUUUAUCAUGUUGACCAAGCUGGUCUUAAACUCCUGGCCUCAAGUGAUCUGCCUGCCUCAGCCUCCCGAAGCACUGUGAUUACAGACAUGAGCCACCAUGUUCGACCAAGUGCUGUAUCUUGCAUGAAGAUGUACUUGGUCCCUGCCUGUGGCUGGCUUGUCUACCUGGUAUACCCAGUCUGGACAUCGGAGGACAUACAGUUAGGUCAAAGUUCGGAGUGCAACUAGAGAGACUAGCAGUUCACUUCUCCCAGCCUGUCCGACUUCUCAUAGCUUAAUCUUCGGGCACAGCUGCUGUGAGUACACAGUCCCUGGGACUCAUAUCUUGCCCUGCUCCUGGCCCGAGGACAAGAUUGGGAGGAGCUGUGGGCAGGUAAGGUCAAAAGGAACCUCAUGCCAACAUUUCUCUGGAGGGCAGAGGGACAAACAGAAUCCACAGGUCAGGAUCUACCUCGGGGACAAUGUCUCGAGUCCAGUGGUUGCAAUAAGAUGUGUUAUGCGUCAGAGCCAGGGAGGGAAAGAGCAGGCACAGAUGAUGUUGAAAGGUCAGCCAGGCAACGGAAGCCAGGGGUCAGGAAGAAUUCCGAGCUACGAUUCCUGCUGGAACACAUGGUGGGGUGGGGGGCAGGUAUUCAUAUCAAAAUCAAGCAAGCUUUAUUUUUCAGGACCCAAGAUCUUCCUGCCUUCCUUUCCUGGCAGGUCUCACAUCCAAGGGUUUUCUUCCUGAGCUCAUAGACACUAGAUCUGAAACCAUGCAUAAGAACAGGAAAUGGGGUGGCUCGUCCUUACUGAGGAGAUUCUGGAAUUAUUCAUACCAGAGUUGAUAGGAGAAUGAAAUAUGAUAGUCAAGAUCAGACCUCUCCUCGCAGGCUCUUUUCCUUCUAAGUCAGGAGAAUCUUCAGAGAAGUCCCCAUAGAAGAGAACCCCCAUGCUGCAAGUACGCAGGAUAUACAUUCCGAUUUGAGCUGAGUUCCAAGAAAAACUUUAUUUUGGGACAUUUGAGGCUUGUCAUCAAAGAACUCUAACUUUCUAUCUCCCUACCUUAUGGGUUACUAUGAAGUUCAAGUGAUAGUGUGUGUGUGUGUGUGUGUGUGUGUGUGUGUGUGUGUGUGUAGUCUUCUAUAUAUUUUCUAUUCUCUACAUAUAUUUCUAUUUUCUAUAUAAUGUAUGUGAGAUAUAUAUUAUAGAGAGAUAUAUUCAAUUUUCUCUCUAUAUAUAUAUAUGUGAGAAAGUGUUUUGCAAAUGGUGAGGUACCACCGUAUACAAGAUUGUUAUAAUCCCAUUUCUGUCCAAUGGAGAUGCUGAUUUUCAUCUUGCUUGAUAAUUAUUUUCAGGUGAGAUUAUAUCACCUGAUAAAUAUUUUAUUUUUCUUCUGUUUCCUUUUUUUUCUUUUGUUUCUCUAGUUUUCUGGUGAAAAAUGAUUCUAUUGGAAAUUUUAUAACAGAGCAAAUGUUUUCAGAGAAGGAAGGGAUUCUCAGAUUUAAAAGAAAAACUUUCUCUAAAACUCAGAGCAGCUAGAGCGCCUAGGAAGCCCCUUUAUCUAAUCAAUCUAGUCUUAACUAUAACAAGCUCAACCGAUGCUUGGGUAGAAUAUAAAUUCCAAGUCACAGGAGGUCUUAUCAGUUAUAAUACUGAGAAAGAAUUAGCCACUCUGUUUUGGUAAGAUGAUAGCUGUGGGCUAAUUCAUUUUUCUUGAAAUAUUUGGGGGAUUUGAAAGCUUAAGAAGUAAACAGGUUGUUUUGUUCAGGGAACCUUCUCUGAAAGAGUGACCAGGGUUCAUCUGAUGACAUUAGCUUUGCCAGUAAUUUCAAUGAUGUCAAGGGCACACGGGAGAUUAAAGAGGGAUUAAGACCUGCUCACAGAAUCAAAGCAUCACAGUAAAUUGACUUGACUUGGCAGGCUGCACUUCAGGUUGGCACCUUUUCACCACCUCAUCAUAUACAAUACAGGUUUGUGGUGUUAGCUAGGUUACUUUCACAGAGGCCAAGAAAUGCUAAGCAGGCAAGGUGGGAGGUGAAAUUUGCUGGGGAGGGGUGGACGGACAUCAGGAGAAUGCUCAAGGCCAGGCUGCCACUUGAGGUGCUGAGGAUUAAAGCAUUAAGGAAAACGUUUUUUGUUUUUUUUUUUUCCUCAGGAUCUUUCAAAAAUGAAUUUCAUUUUCUACCUUCCCUCCUUCCACCCACUCCCAAGUUUUCCAGAUAUGCGUUCCUCCUAAAACCUUUUUAAUCCCUCAGGUUAUUAUCAACUCUUCUGCAAAAGGAGUCAGGUUUGCCCAGGAACUUCACUGAAUAAAGAUGAGUUUAUAUUUUAAAAAGGAAACAGCUGGAUGGCAAAAGCCAGGGAGGGAAGCAGCUCUUGUUUCAUUAGUGAAGGGAAACUCGAGGGCCCGGAGAGAACAACUGGGCUGGCAGCCACACGGGGAGAAGAAAAGGAAACACACGAUCAUAAAGAACUAAUCAUGAAAAAUGGAAAGCGAGAAAGAGCCAAGAACAACAAGCAAUAAAUAGAUUUGGAAGGGGGAAAAGAUGAAGAGGAAUGCACAGCCAUGCUCAGGAAGGAAGCAACAGAAGCAUGUGCGUUUCUUUUGAAAAAAAUUAAUAAUUCUGAACAUCAUGAAAAUGUCUUGAGGAAAAUGUUUUAAGAUAACUUUUCAGACCCAGGUUUUAUUUCUAUGUGUUAUUUCAGAGUCUACUUCAGUGCAUGAAAAAAAAAAAAUCAAAUGGAACUAGGGGGAGAAACUCAACAUACAAUGUGCCUGAGUGGUUGGUUUCCCUCUGCUUUUUAAUUUUUUUAUAAAUAAUUUCUGCGUGAUGUUGGGGAAUAGAAACAGUUAGUUUGGCUAUGUAGGGUCACUGAUUAAUUGGGGGAUUCUAAGAUUAACUUAUACAAUUCUAGCCAUAAUUAGAAAUACCAAAUAUAUUUUCACCUGGGCAGUGAUCCCGUAACGUUCAUUUGUUUGUCAUGAGGGGGUGAUAAUUUGGGACUCACCCAUGAAUCUCUAAAUAUUUUCAAAUGAAAUUAGCAUGGAUUGAAGGAGGAGCUAAGAGGGAAUCCAGAUCCUAAUCUGUCCUUCAUCUUGAAGGACUAUUGGUCAUGCUUGUGUAUUUUAUCAUGUUGAAUCCGUUCAUCCAAACGUGGCCAAUAGUUCAGGCAAUCCUAGACAGAAGCUAUAUAUACAUAUAUACCUAUAAUCUAGGUAUAUGUAUCUUAUACCUCAGCUUCCUGAAUAUAUAUAUGUAUCUUAUACUGAAUAUAUAUAUAUAUCCUGAAUAUUUAUAUAUAUAUAUAAACUGUUUGAAGUUUCACAUCAGUUACAGACAAUACUUUGUCAAUGAAAUGUUGCUAGUCUUUUAUUUGGAGGAUGGCUUAUUAGGGUUUUUAGAAUUAGUUUUUAAUAGCAGCAUUUAUUUAAGAAGGAAGAAGAAACGUUUGAUGGUACCUUCUGGAAUGUACACUCAUCUCAUUAAUGACACUACAGUUCAUGGUUGGCAAAACAGGACUUUUGAAUCAUCCUGUAUUGUGUGUGUGAGUGUGUAUGUGCUUGAGAAAGAAGUCCAAGGCGCUAAAGAUACAUGAGAAGUGCAUGAAGACAGGAUGCAGGAUUUCCUAUGAUUUUAUGUUGUUCUUAAUUAGGAAGCAUAUUGGCAGCAAAUGCUAACAUGUGUUAGGAUGUUUAGCUGAAGCCAAACAAAUGUUUUCUAUUACAACUCUGAAUUCCAUGCCUGGUCGGAACCCGUGCUGUUCUGCUCAUGGCUAACAAAAUCCUGUUAAAAGUCAUAUCAAGGGCCAAUUUUCUGUUGGCUCACAGAGCAAAACUACUUUCACCACAUGUUUUCCUGAAGGGUCAUCUACAACUCCAGGUGAAAGUCAAAGAUUGGAAGAGGAUGACCUCUGAUCCCGGAACUGCAUUGCUUGGUGGUCAGGAGGGGUUCUUAGUAAGCAAACUGGGUUUAAUUCCAGAGACAGAAGUGGGUGUCAACAAGUCAAAGCAGCAUCCUUUCAGCUCUGCUACUUUUUAUCUUGGUGGAGGAAUAGCCAAGAGAAGAAGCUGGAGAGUAGCCAAAAAAAAAAAAAAAAAAAAAAAAAAAACGGUCUCUAAUGUAGCUAGGUAAAGUAGCUACGUUAGAGAGCAUUUGCUUGAGUACAUAAGAAACCACGUAUAAAUAUGCUCUUUACUGAUUGAUUGAUUGACUGAUUGGAGACAGGGUCCUUCUCUGUCACCCAGGCUGGAGUGCAGUGGCAGGAUCUUGACUCACUGCAACCUUCAUCUCCCACUGCAAUCUUCCCACCUCAGGUUCCUAAAUAGCUGGGACUGCAGGCACACAUUACCAUGCCUGGCUAAGUUUUGUACUUUUAGGGAAGACAGGGUUUUGCCAUGUUGCCCAGAAUGGUUUCGAACUUCUGAGUUCAAAUGAUCCUUCUGCCUUUGCUGUCUAACAUGCUGGGAUUACAGGUGGGAGGCACCAGGCCUGGCCAUUUUUUUCUAUCUGUGUCUUUUUCACUGCUGUGACUGAGAAAUCUUACAUGCUCUCAUAUAUGUACCUGAAAUGAUGCAGAAAUUCCCCAGGACCAGCCACUUGGUGCUUACAUUUAUUAAUAUCAAUAAAUCCACGAAGCCAGGUUGUAAGGCAAUCUUAGGUAUGCACUAUGUGAGGACUGCAUUGCCUGGAGCUCUUUAGCAGUUUUCCACUGCAGGGUCUUCACACAAGCUCAUCCCUCUUUCUGGAACAUUCCCUCUCCACAUUUUGCACCACCUAUCCCCUCACCUGGUUCAGAUCUCUUCCCGAUUGUCCCCUCUCGCCCAGCUUUCCCCAAUCCCUUCCUCAUUCUUUCUUCAAUUUGUAUUUAUUUAAUUUUGCUCAUUGUUUCUCCCCUCCUCUAGAGUGUCCACUUCAAGAAGGAAGGGAAUUUAUUUUGCUUUUGCUGCUGCACCUCAAUGCCUAGGACAGUGUAAGGAACGGAGAAGGUGCACAACUAAUAAUCUAUUCAUUGAAUUAACAGGUCCAGUGUGUUUUUGUUACUGUCUGCAUGACAUUUUCAAAGCCUUGGAAGUUACUAAAUUACUUUCCUGCAUUUUAUAUGCAAGGCUCCUGUUAUUUCUAGUAAGAGUCAGCUGUACAUCUAGACUGCAUUUUCAAAAAAUAAUAAUAAACUACAUUUCCCUUUGCCUUGUAACCAAUCCCAUGUGGUAUAUAGGCCCCUGCAAAAAAAUUAACAAAAAAGGGAGAAUGUACCAAACCACAUUCAGUUAGUGAAAGGGGAUGUUUUCCCAUAUUCUUAAAUAAGGUCUUUUAACCAGUAUAUCCAAUCUCUCAUAAACCAUGAAAUGAAGUGACUGGCUAUCAGAACUAAUUUUGAGAAGAAAAACUGUCAUCUUUAAAGCAGUAAAAUCUUCAUAAAACUGUGUAAACUAAUUACUAGGUUAAGUAAAAUUGCUGAAAUAUAUCAGGACCUUCAAAUGUCUCCAGGGCAGACAUAAUACAGUAAUUCUCUAAUAGUCACCCUGGGAAGGCACCGUAAUGGGCGGGAUGAAGUCAUUCUAAUAUUCUCAUUUAGUUUUGGUCCUGAGACUUAUAAAAAGAAUACUGGCGGCAGAUUGCACAUGCAGAAGAGAUGCCCAUUCAUCUCACAUGAUACUAGCUGGCCUUUCCAGGCUGUGGAUCACGAGCUCAGGGGAAUCCAGUAGAGAUGGGCAUAUGCAUUUAUUCUGCAGAGAAGAUGGAUAUAUGCCUUUAAAUCCAUUUGAAUGUUUCUCAUCCCUCCCCAUGAAAGGGAGUGGAAUAUAUUUUGUGUACAGUAUUUUUUGCUUUAGGUUAUUUAGAUGGCCUCAUGUAUAUUAGGUUUUUGCAUGUGAGUAAGAAAGAACUAAAAACAAGAGCAAGACCUACCAGAAGCUUCAACAGAACAGAUGGCCCAUGGAAGACCUCAUGUUCUUUUGAAUUACUAAAAAGCUCUAUAAAUUUAAGCAGGUAUCUUGGUAAUCCAGGAUAAGUCACAAGGAUUGGGUAAACUCAAUGGAAUAGUAAAGGUUUAUUUUAUUAGGUAAUGUUAUAUACAUUUAGGCCACGCCUCUAAUCCCAGCACUUUGGGAGGCCAAGGUGAGUAGAUCACUUGAGGUUAGGAGUUUAAGACUAGCCUGGCCAACAUGGUGAAACCCCAUCUCUGCUGAAACUGCAACAUUUAGCUGGGCAUGAUGGCAUGUGCCUGUAGUCCCAGCUACUUGGGAGGCUAAGGUAGGAGAAUUGCUUGAACCUGGGAGGUGGAGGUUGUAGUGAGCCAAAAUCACACCACCACCAUCCAUCCUGGGCAACUGAGCAAGAUGCCAUCCCCAAACAUAUUUGUUUUCUCAAAUCCCAGGCUAAUCUUGUACUCAAUAUGGAAGAUAAUCAUGACUCAUCACUCUGGAUUACCACUGUCUACAUAUGUCUUUCUUAUGAGAUUAUGCACCUUGGAGAUAAGAACUUCACAUUAUUUGCUUCAUUCUCCAGUGUCCAGUUUGUGGAAUGAAUGAAUAACCAUUAACAGAAACCUGACUGUUAUUCUCUUCACUAUUAACUUUUCCUAGAGUUAUAAAUUCCAGCUAGAAAUGUGUUCAGAAAACCACUUGUCUUUAGAAAUGUAAUUUCACGAGACACACAAGUUGAUUUCCUCAUACUCUAUUAUGCUGAUUUCUACCUGGCUCAAGGGUGUGAUUCAUAAAGAAGAGUGAUAGGAACUAGACUUCUUAAAAGUGGUGAGUAUCAGGCCACAAUCUCAGAGGAUAGCGUAUGAGGAGUAAAGUUGAGAAGACACAUUCACAUUUACCCAAAUGGCUUGCACAUUAAAAGCUGUACACCCUCCCUGACUCCAAUUAACUCAGAGGGAAAUCUUUAUGCUGGUUCGGUUCUUUCCAAUGCAUCUGAGCCGACCAUUGCUGGCUGGCCCCUGUGUCCCUUUGGAAUUGAUAAUGAGGUUCAAGAGAGAGGAAUAAACCUCACUAAGCAUGUCACCUCUAUUUAGCACCUUUUCCAGGAUGGCAGACACUAUUGUUUUAUUAUGUCUCUGAUCAGCUGUCACUAUUCAUAAAGUAAUCACUGCCAUUAACACAUCAUGCCUCAAGCCAUCUGCUGCAGCACAGCACACACAGAGCUGUUGGUUGCAAGCAAAGCAGGUGUCACCUAAAAAUGACAGUACCACAGUAAAGGUGGGAGGUCAUCAUGGUGAAGAGAAUAUGUGUCAUGUCAUAUAACUCUAUUUUUGAUGUAUUGUAGUGCAAUGAGCAAUAGUAUUUCUUGCUUAAUUUGCAGAAGGCUAAACUUACAACAUUCUCUUGUGAGUUACCUUAUUUUCAAUAUUGGUAAGUUACGGAGACAAAAAAUGUCAUUGAAGUUUUUGAAACAAUAGCAUCUAGAUUGUGAAUGGUCUGUUGCAUUAAAUUUGCAGUCAAGUUUAAAGCAUUUUUUUAAGAGAUCUGAUCCAUCAGACCUUUAUUCAACAAGUAUUUAUUGAGCACAUACUAAGUGACACUGACAUGUGACUGGCCCACUCAAACUAUACAGUUGCUGCUUAAAAACAAAAAUCACUGGUGGCUACAGCCUGUAAUCCCUGCACUUUGGGAGGCCAAGGCGGGUGGAUCAAGAGGUCAGGAGUUUUAGACCAGCCUAUCCAACACAGUGAAACCCCAUCUUUACUAAAAAUACAAAAAUUAGUUAAGAUGGUGUGGGAGCCUGUAAUCACAGCUACUCUGGAGGCUGAAGCAGGAGAUUCCUUUGAAUCCAGGAGGCUGAGGUUGCAGUGAGCAAAUAUCAUGCCAUUGCUCUCCAGCCUGUGCAACAGGGAGAUACUCCAUCUCAAAAACAAACAAAAACAAACAUCGCAAGUACUGUACACGGCGAAGAUUCCUGAUCCCAGCUGCUGUCUCUAACACUUAUUUUGAUUUUGGAUAAUUUUGGGGCUAGUUUUCAGUUUCAGUAUGAUCUGUAUUGAUUGACUUUUAUGUGGAUGUAUUGGAAAAUAAGCUUGCAUUGGAAAAAUGUAAUGAUUUCAUAAAGUCUAUUAUGAAGGACAAUAUCUUUAUAGGAUAAUUAGUUCUCUUGACCACCUUCAUUAUAAAGGGGCUUUAUAUUUAUACAACUGAGAAAGGAGUUAGAAAUUUAAUUGAAGAUCUUGAGCGUUGAUAGAAAGUGAGACAAGGGAUCAUAACUGGGUUUAACUAUCCCUCUAGCCCCUUCCUCUCCUGCAUAUACACUAGAAUUGCAUGCCCAGCUUAACUUCAGAAAAUUCGUCUAUUUGCCCUUGGCAAAUAUAUACACAUACACAUCUGUAUGUAGAUGUAAAAAUUUAACUAGGGUAGUUAGUAAUUCCACCCUCCAUUUUAUUGCAUGAGUUUCUGCUCUUUUCCUGGGAGUGAGAAGUAUUGGAUGAGAGUUUGGAUCUUCUGGCCCCUCAAUUACUCUUAGCAACAUCCCCCAUCCUUCCCUACUGCUGAUGAGAGCAUCUUGCUGUGUGGUUGGUGGUUCUCAGGUAUAUACAACUCAGUACUCUUCACCAUGAUGCACAUGUGCACGCAUCCUAUAUGCUACUGCUGGUUUAGGAGAUUUUUAAGGGUCAAAUGAACCGUACAUUUAGAAUAUAACUCCUAUGGAGUAUGUUAAUUACAAACCAGUUGAGGAAUGCUACAUCACCCCAAAGUCUACAGAAAGCAAAGAUAUCCAUCUUCUAUAUCAGGAUUUCUCGACUACUUUUGAAUCCAACUUUCUUUUGAGAAACAAAAAUCUCAAGCUCUUCCCCUAACCCUAAAGAUUUGUAGAAUCAUCUGUUAUAACCAGAAAAAAAAUAAAAUCAAACUUGAAUUUUUGUAGUUUGCAUUCUUUUCUGAAUGCAAACGUUUUUCUACAUUUUUUUUUUAAAUUCUAUAAUGAUCUAUAUGCUUUUCAAACUGGUUCCCCUUUCUCCCCAGGGAUCAAUUCUAUGCCAAAGCACUAGGGACAUUUUAACUCAAAGGAUGACAUUUGUGAAUCUGGGAUUGGGGUGGGUGCUUUUCAAGAUACCAGUGAAGCAUCACAGAAUGAGCAAGCACAUGUCUCCUGAUGACCAGUGGCCCCCCUUUAUUUUUUUCUGAGAUGGAGUUUCAGCUCUGUCGCCCAGGCUGGAGUACAGUGGUAAGAUCUCAGCUGACUGCAACUUCCACCUCCUGGGCUCAAGCAAUUCUCCUGCCUCACCCUCCUGAGUAGCUGACAUUACAGGUGGCCACCACCACACCCAGCUUAUUUUUGUAAUUGUAGUAGAGAUGGGGUUUCACCAUGUUGGCCAGGCUGGUCUCAAACUCCUGAAUGCAAGUGAUCUAUCCGCCUCAGCCUCCCAAAGCGUUGGGAUUACAGACGUGAACCACCGCACCCGGCUUGAAGAUCAUCCUUCUGUUUUUAUUUUCUAGAUGGAGUCUCACUCUGACUCCUAGGCUGGAGUGCAUCAUGGCUCACUACAGCCUCAACCUCCCAGGCUCAAGUGGUUCUCUCAUCUCAGCCUCUCAAGUAGCUGGGACCACAAAUAUGCAUCACCAUGCCUGGCUAAAUUUUUUAUUUUUAUUUUUUGUAGAGACAAGAUCUCUUUAUGUUGCCUAGGGGAGUCUUGAACAUUUAGGCUUUAGAGAUCCUCUGGCCUUGGUCUCCCAAAGUGCUGGGAUUACAGGUUUGAGCCACUGCACCUGGCAGGAGAAAAUCAUAUUUGGUAAAUAAACACGUAUAUCAUCAUGUGCCCCAUGACAUUUCAGUUAAUAAGGAACCACAUAUAAGACAGUAGUCUUGAGGCGGGCAGAUUGCCUGAUAUCAGGAGUUGGAAAGCAGCCAGGCCAACAUGGUGAAAUCCCGUCUCUACUAAAAAUACAUAAAAAUUAGCUGGGUGUGGUGGUGGCCGCCUGUAAUCUCAGCUACUCAGGAGGCAGAAGAAUUGCUUGAACCUGGGAGGCAGAGGUUGCAGUGAGCAGAGAUCGCACCACUGCACUCUAGCAUGGGUAACAAGAGCCAGACUCUGUCUCAAAAAAAAAAAAGAAGUGGUCCCAUUAGAUUAUAAUACCAUAUUUUGACUGUACCUUAUCUAUGUUUAGAUACACAAAUACCAUCUUGUGACCAUUGCCUGCAGGAUUCAGUACAGUAAUAUUUGUACAGAUUUAUAUACAAAUCUGCACAAAUUUGUACAAAUAUUAAGUUGUACAGAUUUGUAGCUUAGAUGAAGCAAGCUACACCAAGUAGCUUAGGUGUAUAGCAGGCUGUGCCGUCUAGGUUUGUGUAACUACACUUUUUGAUUCACACAGUGGCAACAAAAUCACAUAGCAAUGCAUGUUUCAGAAUGUUUCCCAAUCAUUAAGUGACUCAUGAUUGCACAUAAUCACUCGGGUCUAUAAAAUAAAGAUAACCAGAAGACUUACUCCAAAGGGUUGUUGGGGUGAUAAUAUAAUCAAUACUUAUAAUUAAUACUAUAAAAUAAUAUAAUACAAAGUAUUUAUGGUAUUUAUAAAUAUAGACCUAAAAUAUAAAAGUUUUACUCAUUAUAAUGCUUUUUUUUCUUCUUUUGAGACGGAGUCUUUCUUCUCUGUCACCCUGGGUGGUGUGUAGUGGCUUGAUCUUGGCUCACUGCAACCUCUACCUCCUGGGCUCAGGUGAUUCUCCUGCCUUAGCCUCCCUAGUAGCUGGGAUUACAGGCGCCUGCCACCACGCCCAGCUAAUUUUUGUAUUUUUAGUAGAGAAGAGGUUUCACCUUAUUAGCCAGGCUGUUCUCAAACUCCUGACCUCAAGUGAUUCACCUGUCUCGGCCUUCCGAAGUACUGGAAUUGCAGGUGUGAGCCACCAUGCCCAGCCUACUUACUAUAAUACUUCUGAGUAUUAAAAAACACUUUUAUGUCCAGCACAUGAUAAAUCCUCAAUAAAUAUAAUGUACUACUAUGACAGAUUAAGAGAAAAAGCUACUGAAAUAAGGCUGCAAUACUUGCAUUUAGGAAACACUGUAGGAAUAGGACAGAAAAGCUUGGCUAACUGAAUUGAGAAAUAUAUUAAACAAAAUGUCUUCAGAGUAGGUGCCAUUUGAACUGGCUAGAGAAAGAGAGAGAGAAUCGCUUGUUAGGGGAAGAAGUAUCAGGAGCAAAGUUUUGGACCAGGAAGGGGAACCAACCGCUUUCUUCCUUGAUCCCUCCCACUGAAGAGUUUUUCACAGUUUGCCUUACACACUUUGGGGGCCCUAGGCAGGUAGAUCACAAAGUCAGGAGUUCAAGAACAGCCAGCCAAAAAUGGUGAAACCCUAUCUCUACCAAAAAUACAAAAAUUAGCCAAGCGUGGUGGAGGGUGCCUGUAAUCCCAGCUAACCGGAAGGCUGAGGCAGGAGAAUCGCUUGAACCCGGGAGGUGGACGUUGCAGUGAGCGGAGAUCACACCACUGCACUCCAGCCUGGGCAACACAGUGAGACUCUGGCUCAAAAAAACAAAAACAAAAGAACCUCAUUUUAUGGGUUCUUCAAACAAUGUUUUUGUGUUUACUCCAGCAUAAGAUCUGUCAUAUAGAGUCUCUUUAUGGAGACCCAUGCAUUUUAAAAGACUCUCAUAAACACCAUUGUUUAUGAAUUAGUAUUAGUAUGGUUGAUAAUUUUACACCUUAGGUUUACAAUAUAAUGAUCUUAAGGCUUUGCUCAUCCAAAAUCAACUUUUCCCAGCUCCCUUACUAUUAACUCAUUCCUUGUAUUUAUUAUUCAGUUUUCUAUUUCUACACUUGAUUUUAGCCAAAAGGCCGAAAAGUAAUCAGUUUUCUAUUUCUUUGGACUGAGUGGGCAUGAGACAUAGAAUGGGAAAGAAAGCAUGCAAUUAGAAAAUAUUGUACAAAACUACUGGCUAUUUUAUAUAAAAAAUGAAAUUUGAGGUCUCAGGGUGCAAAAUCAAUAUGGAAGAAUUUUAUCACUUUGUUAGAAGAUGCAGUCGGAGUCCAUCCACUAUGCUCUCAGAGACUUGGUGGAUAUCUGUCAGUUUCGUUUGUCAUUCAGGAGGAAUACCUGGAUUUUCUCUGAGGAGUCAUCCCUGCUUGGUCUCAGACUACAAGGUUCAUGCGGUGCUUUGCCAAGUCUACUUCCUAUCCCCUCCAGUCUUAGGGAGGGGGAAUAGCUCAAGCUCAGCCACUCAGGCUUUCUCUUCUGGGAAGCUGAACUCUGAGUGAUGAGACACAAAAGUAGCAAUAUACUUGGAACCGAUUCUUCCUGGGAGCAGAACCUUGAAGAGGCUGUUUAUUCACUCCUGCUACCUGGAGUCCUGAAGCUAUUUGGUUUCCAUCUUUGUUCCCUCAUGAUCUGAGUGUUCAGCUUUUGGUUUCUAUGAGCCACUCCAUAUCCUUCCAAUAAUUUUCCUCUUUUCUUUUGCUUCAUUUAGUCAGAGUUUAACUGAUAGUGAUAGAAUGAAAGUGUGAACACAGAAAAAAUACCGCUAGAUGACUGAGUUCAGCUUACUAGACAGCAUUUUCUCACUGGACAUGUAUUUUGAAAGCACAUACCAGCACCAGGCACUGCUCUAGGCACUGAGUCAAUGACAAACAAAACAAAACAAAUUCUGAGAACAAUAGGUGUGGCUGGGCACUGUGGCUCAUGCCUGUAAUCCCAGCUGUUGGGAGAUCGCUUGAGCCCAGGAGUUUGAGAACAAUAGACAUUCUAACAGAUAUUUGUUGUUGGGCUUUCAGGAACUAAAUGAAUGGGCUCAUGACAUUUGUUCGACCUUAGGAUAAUUUUUUAUAUGACCCUCUGUGAGAGGCUCUAAUAAAUUUUUUUAACCAAAAGAAUACGAAUAUUAACAACAAUCUGGGUAAAUAUUUCAAAAAAGAGUUCUUCCUGUGGAAAAGCAAGCCAAGUGUUGAUUUAAAUUUCUCAAUGAUCAAAGUGUUAAAGUAAUAUGUUUUGAAUAGAGCCAUCUAUAAAACAUAUCCGUAUAAACAACAAAACUUGUAAACGUGUAAUGGGCAAAAGUAAUAAAACUAUUGAAAUAAUGCAUUUUCCUCAUACCAACCCUAUCCAUUAAUUUUUUACAGUUUUCUACCAUGUAACAUUACCCUUCAUAAAAAUGAUAUUUUAAAAUGAGAUGGGGUUGGUAAAAGAAACGACGGGUAAUAACGGAAGGGGGAUUGUAAAGCUGUGCUCUGCUGGAUGAGGGAUAAGGGAAAAUACAAUUCAUCUGGGCUUUCUCUGAGCCAGAGGCCAUGGUCUGUGGCCUUUAAAGGGUGAGCAAUGCUCAGAGCCAAGGAUUUUUAUAUCCUUAUUUUGAUUAUUUGUUUCUUUUCUCUAAAGAAAUCAAGCACAAGCUAUUUAAAAUAAUGAAAUUCACUUCAAAAAAUACUUUUUAAGCAAAGUUGUGAAUCUCUCAUGUAUUAAACAUUUAAAAAUUCUUCAUGCAUUGUUGUAUGGGUUGUAUAGAAUCUAAAUGUAAUAUGACAGUGGCAACUUGGUGCAGUGAAGGGACAUAGAUUUUGAUUCGGAUGGAUCUGAGUUCUAAUCCUGACUCUGCUAUAUAUAAGUUAUUUGACCUCUAUGUAACUGUAUUUAUUUACCUGCAAAGUGGAGAUGAUAACUCCUAGCAAGUAGUGAGUACUCAGGGUUAGAUGAUUUUCUUCAUCCUUUGUUCUGAUAAUACUUCAAAUUAGGAAAGAAUAGCUUAUUUGCAGCUACAGGCCAUUGCAGUAUUAUUGUUAUUUAUUAUUAUUAUUUUUUGAGACAAAGUCCCACUCUGUUCCAGGCUGGAGUGCAGUGACAUGAUCUCGGCUCACUGCAACCUCCAACUCCCUGCUCAGGCAAUUAUUCUGCCUCAGCCUCCCAAGUAGCUAGGCUUACAGGCAUGUGCCACCAUGCCCAGCUAAUUUUUGUAUUUUUAGUAGAGUUGGGGUUUUACUGUGUUGGCCAGGAUAGUCUCAGUCUCCUGACCUUGUGAUCCGCCUGCCUCGGCUUCCCAAAGUGCUGGGAUUACAGGUGUGAACCACCACAUUACAGUAUUGUUGAGUCUCACUUAAAAUGCUUGAUAUCCUUUGAUAUUAUGUGUCAACAAAGUAAAAAUGUGCAUGCUUGCAAUUCCUAAAAAUAAACUAAAAUAAAUAAAAGGUUGAAAUUCUUACAUUUAUAUUAAAAUGAGAAUCCAUACUAUAGCAUCAUUUUGGAAAAUGGAAUUAUCUGAGAUUUAAAUGCUUUAUUUCUCCAUUUAAUCAGCACACCCUGAGCACCUAUUAGACUCUGGGCCCCAUGGUAGGCAUUGAGAAUACAAAGAUAAAUAAAACAUGAUUCUGGACUUCAAAGAGUUACUUCACCCUCUUCCAUAAUGGGUGAAGAUCAUGUGCAGAGAAUGAAAUGCAGAAAUAUAGGAUGGAGUGCCUCAUGGGAACACUGGGGAGAGUUACCUCAUUGGUGAGUGUGGAGUGUCAGGGGACAAGGGAAGUCUUCUAGCAGACGUGGUGGUGAUGGUAUCUGUUUCAAGCCUUAGGGAAUGAGUUGAAGUUAUCUAGGUGGACUAGGUGGAGGAGACUAGAGUAAGAGGACAUUCCAGGCAGUGGGGCAGGAAAAUCAUAUGGAGAUGAACCCACAUGGUGCAUGUAUGUGUGUUGAAUGUGUGUGGGGAGUGGGGGUGGGUGGGUAAGGAUGUACCAGGAAUCAGUGCUAUGGUGCACAGAGCUAGAGGUAGGGAGUAAUGAGAGUGAUAUUAUUGGAGAGGCAGGCAGGGGCCAGAUCAUGGGUGUUUUCUUUCCCAGGCCAAGUUGCUCAAGCUUUAUGCAGAAGGACAAGUGAUGGCUUGGGCACAGCUGAAAUACCUCUGCUCAAACCUGUGUGAAGAAUAACAAUUAGGGUAGUAAAGCACAUUAGGAAACGGGUGAUGUGGUCUGUGUGUGGUCCAGGGCCAGGUUGUAAGGGCUUGAUGGAGGCCAGGUUCACUGGGACACGGAACAGUAGGAGGGCUGGAUGGUUGGUAGCAGAGAGGGGUGAGCUCAGGGGCAGGAGGAAGAGAGAGAAUCCAGGCUGACGCUCAGCUCUGGAGUAGGUACCUGAGGUGAUGCCAUCAUCCAAGACAUGGAUAUGAAUGAGGGUUAUGAUCCAAGUUCGGGCAUUCAGUGAAAUCAAACUGUGGGUCUCUUAAAACUGGGCUGACUGUGGUUUUGCUGCUGUUGUUGUUUUUCUUUCUCUCUCUCUCUUUUUUUUUUUUUUUUUUUUUUUUUUUGAGACAGAGUCUCACUGUGUCACCAGGCCGGAGGUCAAUGGUGCAAUCUGGGCUCACUGCAACCUCUGUCUCCUGGGUUCAAGUGAUUCUCCUGCCUCAGCCUUCUGAGUAGCUGGGACUACAGGUGCACACCACCACACCCAGCUAAUUUUUGUAUUUUCAGUAGAGAUGGAGUUUCACUAUGUUGACCAGGAUGGUCUCAAUCUCUUGACCUCCCAAGUGCUGGGAUUACAGGUGUGAGCCACCGUGCCUGGCCAACUGUUGGUUUCGGAAUACCUUGGUGAGAUUUUGUUAUAGGGAGCAGCACUGACCACUUCUGGUGCAUGCAGAAGGCCUAACAUGGAGUGAGCAUGGAGGGGAUGAGCCAUAAAUAAGCUUUCACUCCGCUCCUUAGUAGCUCCAGGAUAGUGGGCAAGUCACAUUAGCACUCCAGAUUUCCUGUCCCUCGUUGUGGGAAUAAGUUGGUUUGACAAAUAAUCUCUAAACAAUUAUUCUUAUUUGAUUAAAUAAAACCACGUAAUGUGAUUCUCGUUCCCCAAUUUUUUAGUUAACAGUAAACACCCCCACCCCUGAAACAUGGUGCAAAAGUUUCUCUCUCCUAAAUUUAUGAGAUAUUUGAUAUUUAAUGUCAAAAUAGGAGUUUUCUUAACUCUUAAGAAUAUUCGUAGCUCCUUCUUGUCAGGAAUUGCUUGCAACUCUUAGAGGAUGUGAAUCACUCCCAAAGCAUUUAUCUUCCAACUUUCAAAUGCAUUUUUGGAAACAAAUAUCAGUUGUUAACCAGAGCUUUCCUACGUGCAGCAGAAACUCUCUUCCACAAGGCUUUCCUUCCCUUCCCUACUCAGUAAACUGCCUAAUACAAACAGGGGGUCACUUCGGGGGCAGUAACGUCUGACAUUAAAGAAUGCAUUCUAGGCAGGGUGCGGUGGCUCACGCCUGUAAUCCCAGGACUUUGGGAGGCCAAGGCGGGUGGAUCAUGAGGUCAAGAGAUUGAGACCAUCCUGGUCAACAUGGUGAAACCCUGUCUUUACUAAAAAUACAAAAAUUAGCCGGGCAUGCGCCUGGGGUACCAGCUGGAGGCAGAAGAAUCGUUGUAUCCAGGAGGCGGAGGUAGCAGCGAGCCAGACUGCGCCACUGCGCUCCAGCCUGGCGGCAGAGCAAGACUCCGUCUCAAAAAAAAAAAAAAAAAAAAAAGAAAGAAAGAAUACAUUCUAAGUAAAACAAUGUGUUUUUCAAAUUAGCACACAUGCCAAAUAUAUAUAUAUAUAUAGACAUAGUACACCUUAAUGGCUUUCAAAGAGCCAUUAGGCUCAAGUGAGUGAAUAUAUGCACAAUCGCAUCCCAAAAUAGCCAUUUUACCUGUAUAUAUAACAAGAUAAGUUCAUUUCUCUUUGAAUUUUCCUUCGCUCCUUUCUAAGUAAUUUUCCUAGCCCAUUUGAGAGCAAAGGGACACAUUUUUUCAAGGUUUGGGUGUUUGCUUGCUUGGUUCCAAAGUUCAUGGAAUAACCGAGAAGUGUGUUCAUCUGCUGUUGAGUGGCCUAAACGAGGGGGCAUUCUACCUAGUUAAGACCUACUACAGUUUCCCUAUUAACAGAGGCACCAGCAAAGUGUAAGAAGCCUAAGGAGAUUAAUGUAAAAUGUUUGCAGGGUAGAAACAUUUCUUUAGAAAUAAAAUAAUACAUCCUCUACCCCCCAAGAAUUAGCACUUGAGGCACGUUAAUUGGACAAACUCGGUGUUUAGAUCAGGAGUCUGUCCAGUUGCUGUCACCAGAGGAAAUAGAAGCAAAGGGGUUAAUAAUUGCUGACAAUUUUUUUUAACAAGCAGUUUUAUUGCAGAAAUGGGAGUUGAACCGGAACAUUCACAAUCAGAACGAAAGGGCAGGCAGGCAGAUCUGGAAAACUCACCAUUCUAUGUGAAAAGGAAAGUUUCCACGGAUUUCAGAGAAGCCAAAGAAAAGGGUUUAUUUUAUAUUUGAGAACAAAGCUUAAUUUAGGUUUUUAAGGACCAGUCACCCGACAUUUGAAAUCCAUACAUAAUGCUCUGAAGAAAUGCAACAAUGCCUCCAUUUGAUAAUGGAAAGGAAAGCAUUUAUAUCUGACAAUACCUUAUGCAAUGUUUAUAAGAUACAUGUCUCUAGGUGUGUGGAAUUUAAUGUGUUGACUUUUAUUUCUAAAGAAUUGUGUUGUUUACCUGCUAUCUUAGAGAUUACUGUUCCACAUUGAACAGUGAAGGUGAAAGGAUACCAAUCAGCCAGUGUGUAUCUUCUGACAAUUUCCAGAUUUUUAUCUAGAGACACCCAGCAGCAGAGAAUCAUUCAUGGGUGAUAUGUUUUAGUAAGAAACAGCACAUGGGAGUCAGAAGAUAGAAUUCAAUGUCUCGUUCACACCUGCAAUCCCAGUUACUCUGGAGGCUGAGGCAUGAGAAUCGCUUGAACGUAGGAGGCAGAGGUUGCAGUGAAUCCAAAUCACACCACUGCACUCCAGCCUGGGUAACAGAGCAAGACUUUGUCUCAAAAAACAAACAAACAAAAAAAAAAAACUGUGGCCAUGGGGAAAUAGUUUCUUCCAAUGGUUCCCAAACAUUAUUGCAUGACAAAACCAUCUGUUGAGCUUUAUGUAUGCACAUAUACACCUGAUCCAUCCUCCUGAAAUUCUAGCUCAGUAGGUCAGAGAUUGGUCUCUGUAUUGUUUAAAAGCAGUGGGGUCAAUAACUACUGACAAAUCCACCGCACUUGAGUGCCCUCAUUUGUAAAAUAGGGACCAGCAUUUUUUAUUCAGCUUACAGGAUUGUUGUGAAGACUAACUACAAUGAUAUAUUUAAGACACCAGUGCAAUACUCAGAAGAGGGUCACUUAUUUUUCUUUCAGUGGGCCAUGGUUGUUCUAGUUCAGAGCUCCCCAAAGUGAAUUCUAAGGAGCAAUAACCCUAUGGGAUGCUUUAUGGAAAAACUGUGUACCAUCCAUCAUAUUUGGCAGCUGCACAUUACACUCUCUUCCAGACUGUUAAUGGGACCAUUAGCACCUUAAAGUUUCUGAAAGGACCUGAAAAAAAGGAACUGGCUACGUUGGUUGAACUCAGUGUUUCUCAGUGAUUUGACUACCCAAUUCUUUCUUCCUGUGGCAAUUAUUUAUUGAUGUUGGAUGGAACUUGCUUUAGUGAACGAACAGUCCUCUUUAUGAUCGCUAACUAAUGUUCUACCUUCUAUAACCUCCCUCAAGGAAUUGCCCGCUUGUUUUUACUCUGAUUGAAACCCAGCCUUUCUGAUCAUUGUGAAGAAUAUCUGCUCUUUUCCUGAACUGCUAGUUUAAAUGGACUCUCAUAUUGAACACGAUUCCAUUUAAAUACUGUAGUUUUUACUUUAACUGAGGUAUGUAUGAAGGCAGAACACAAAUGAUCUGGAAAAAAAAUUAAGCCAUCAAUUUAGAAAUAAAAUUAACACCUAAACAGUAGAAAUUCACAAGUUCAUGACUGUUAAAUAAAGGGAAGACAGUUACAUUUUGAAAGCUCCUGUUUUACCCUGGAAACCAGUCAAAUGGGAUAAAAUUUAGAAAUGCAGGUUAUGCUUCAAGCGAUAUUAAUCCAGGGAUCAAAAAUAAGUGGUAGAAAUGGAUAUAGAUGUAGUAAAAAAUUUGAGUCUUGAGGAUAGCACUGUUUCUCUUAAGUCAAUGAUUUAAGGGCUUUUAGGAAGUUGAAUAUAAUCAUGUAGAUUUUUUGGUGACCUCAUUUUUCUGGUCUGUACUCUUAAAGAAAGAAUAAUCAGCUUCUAAUGUGCCCUUCUGGGAAUGAAAAGCAGAAUGGCCAAGUGUAUGUCUGAUUGGGGUGUACUUGCAAAAGAAUCACCUACUCAUUCAAGCAGAAGAAGACACAGGCAUAGACACAUGGUGUUGGGAUGGAUGAAUAGACAUGAUGUGUGGGGAUGGAUAGAUGUGAUGUGUAAAGUCAGGUCUGGCAGAGUUUACAGUAAGAAUUUGCUUCAGAUGACUACUCAGAGAAGCAUAUAUGUAUUUUUCAUGCAUCUUGCUUUUACAGGUUUCUGAGAUAAAAAUCUCAGAAGAACAGCUUUGCUCGUGAGCUUUCCGAUAUUUCCACUGUGGUCCUGGCCAGAAACACUUCAAAAUCUUGGAUGGCUUACUCUCCUUGAGAACACUUCCUCAUGGAUUUUGAAUCUCCAGCUCGUUCCACUCCCAGGCAGAAAGGAAGAGGAUGAUCACAGAAACACAGGACAUCUGCCAACUGAGCCUGCCACCUUCUAAGGGGAGCAUUCCUGAAAGCAGCACGUGAUAAUCUUUGCUGACAUUGAAUUGAGCAGAGUAGUAUUUCAUGACCACCCUGAUCUACAAGGGAGGCAGGAAGUGUAGUUCAGAAGAUGUGGACACAGUGCUGUUUCCAUAAAUGGGAGUUAUAUUGGUAAGGAAGAAAGUGCGGAAUGUUUUGGGGUAGGCAGUUGACAGUCUCUAACACCUUUUUUCUUAACUUCCCUAUGUUUACUGAAAUUCCCACUGACUUUGAAUAAAACAAUCCUUGUUUCCCAUCAUCAUCAUCUAACUUCACGUCUUCAUUGUCCUUUUGCUUAGAUUACAAAACCAAGUGGACUCUGUGUGCCUCUACUUCACUGCAAUUCCUGUCCUUGUUCAUUAAUCUAUUAAUUCAGCAGGAAAAUAUUGUUAACAGGCACCGUGCUAUGUGCUAGCAAUGAAGAGAAUCGUGACUUUUGACUUCAGGGCCUCACAGUUCAGUUGGAGAGAGCAAUGUGGCACCGUUUGACUUAGGACAACCCAAGAAGUGACAUAACAGAGACAGAGGAAAGGGACCGAAGAAGCAGCGAGAACAUCCUGACUAAUUCAAUCUGGAAACAGUGAGGAAGACCUUCCAGGGGUGCAUCAUUUCCCACUUACCUCCCACAGUCACUACUUCCUACAUUGUCCAAAGUAUUCAGCUGUUUUGGGGAGAAUCAUGAUUAUUCUACUGAGACUGCAAAAAGAGGGAAGGACGCAGCUCUUAACAUCAGGUAGAAAAUUUUGUUGAGUUAGUAAGUUAGCCUCUGGAAAACACUUUUCUAAAUUUUUAUACAUUCUGGUUAACUCAUUAGAAGUCAGGCCUGGAAGAUGAGAUCAUCUAGUUCUUCAAGAGGUGGACCUCUCCUUGCUUCUGUCAAAAUGGCUGAGUGAAGAGAGCAUGAUAUCCCAUGCCUGUAAUCCCAGUACUUUGGGAAGCUGAGAUGGGAGGAUCACUUGAGUUCAGGAGUUUGAGACCAGCAUAGGCAACAUAGUGAGACCUUGUCUCUACCCUAAAUUUAAAAAGUUAUCUGGGUUUACUGGUAUGUACCUGUAUUCCCAGUUUCCUGGGAGGCAAGCGGGGAGGCGAGGUGGAGGAUUGCCCGGGCCUGAGAAAUUGAGCCAUGAUCACACCUCUGCACUCCAACCUGGGCAAGCAUGAGAUUUUGUCCUCCCUACUCCCCCGCCAAAAAAAAAUAAAAGAAAAGCUGAGCCAGGAGACUUAGGGUUCCACAAGAAUUGGAUAGUAUCUCUACAAGUCAGAAAGAUAAAGCGGAAACUCCCAUUUCAACUCAGGUAGAAUGUGGGAGAGAGAAAGGAGAUGGAGGAGAUAUGGCAGGAGGAGGCUUGAUGCUGAGCGACAGGAAGUCUAAACAGUGGUUGAAACAGAAUAGAACAUGUUUCUCUCCUUUCUGGUUGCCUGGGGAGGUCAGUUCAAGGCUGGAAACGCACUCUUCUGUGUAAGAGACUCAAGCUUCACCUUUUUAUUUUUUACUCUGCCGUGAUCCUUAUUCCAAGGUUGCCUCAUAGUCCAAAAUGGCUGCUGUAACUCUGUCUACCUCAUCUCCAUCUCACCCAGUAAAGAAAAAAAGAAGUAAAGAAGGCCAUACUUCCAUAUUUGAUUACUUUGCUUAUAUCCCUUAGCAGAGGUCAGUCACCUGACCACUCAGAUGCAAAGGGAGGAAAACAUAAUUGGUAUUCAGAGAAGCCAUGUGGAGAGCUAAAAUUCUGUGGCCCUUAUAGCUAGAGGAAAAAAUGAGGGAAUCAGGGAGGACAAAUGAGAGAACUGACACUGGGAGAAAAGAGUAGGGUGAACAGACAUGGAGGUGUGUUAGAAAUGAACACAUAUAUUUAGGGGAGUGAAGGACAUGGGGCCUUUCCUACUCUCAUGGUAUAGUCUGGGAAACCACUGUGACAGGCCCUGCUGGUACUGCAGCCACACGAUGGCAUCUGGGCCUGAUGGAUGUGCCUGAGGCUGCACUAUUUCUGUGCUCAGCACAAGGUCUCAGUGGUUCCCACAGUCCUGCAUGAUGAGGUGUGUUGGGUUAGGGCCAGGUACCAGCAGAGGGCCAGCAUGAGAGUCAAGAUGCAGUGGCAGCUGGGACCUCUGAGAUUAGAAGCCUGACACGUGAGCAGGUGAGACAGGACCUCCUGCCUAUCUGGGUAUCAGCCAGACCAGCCAACCCUCAUUAGACACCAGAUGUAUCCAGAGUCCCCUGUGACUCUGAUCCCUCCCAUUCCUGCUGUUCCGAAGACACAGAGAGCUUCUUCAUAGACAGCCACGGUCUUGGGGAGAGGGAGGGAGUAACUUUUUUCUCUUCCCAUAAAUGGGGCGCUAAAUGAGAGAUGGAUGGUUCUUGAGAAGGUUUAGAUACAGAAGCCAAUUUUUAAGUUAGGCAUCUGAGUAUAAUGUGAGUGCAUUUUCUAUCCCGUAUAUGUACAUAAAAUUAAACUUGCAAUGCUAAAUCAUUUACUUUUGAGUAAUAAUUUACUCUUACUCUUACACUCAUCAGAGUGUAAAAUGAACAAAAAUUAAAAUUCAGAUUGCAGAUUUUGAUUUGGGGUAGACAGGUGGCAUUUUAUAUCAGGCUAAAGACAUUACUUCAAGAUAUACCAUUUACACAGAAGAUCUCCUUAGCUAGAGAUGUUUUUACAAAACUGAAACUAGUAAAGAAAAAGUUGAUUUGUCAAGAGAAUUGACUCCCACAAAUCAGGUGUUUUCCACGUAUUCAGGCAUGCAACAUUCACACAGAUGCUCUCAGGUUCUCUUAUGAAGUAAUGGAUUUAAAAAGUAUGAGAUGAGACCUCAGAUAUUUCAGUUACAAAACCAACCCUCUUGAUCAACCAAAAUAUUCAGAUACACUUCAGAUAUGAUGAUUUCUGAAGUGACCUGAAUAACUUGUUUUCCCUUAACGCUGGGUUAAACCCAGACACAGCAACUCCAGACAGAGAGCAAUUAUAUGGGGAUAUUGUAUUGCUAUUGCCUGCAAUUUAGAUAAAACAAAGGUGCACAUAGGAUGCACCUACACACACACACGCACACAUGCACACACACUCACACACCUGCCCCCAUCACAUACACACUGUACAGUAUUAUGUUAAUGCCUGCACACUCCACAAAACUAGUCCAGCAACUUGCUUAUUAAGCUUUUCAUUGGAACAAAGUGAUGGUCUUCCCUCCUAAAAUAUGGUAUCUAAAAAAACAAAUAGUUUGUUAAUUUAGCAAAAAAGUUGUGGCCAAUUCUCCAGGGAAUGAUGAAGUUCAGGUUGUCUAAUCGACAUUUCUACAGUACUUUAAAUAUUUAAAGCAAUUGCCUCUGAAAUGUGGAUGCCCAUGUAGGGAAAUGUACAAAGGAAGAUAGCUUUCUCCAGUUUUGUUUGCUCCCUUUGAUGUGAAAAGUUGUGAAAAAAAAAGAGUUGUGACCCUUAAUUAGAUAAGGAUUUAUCUACAUUGCUUUUCUUUUUGUGUGCUCAACCCCACUAGGGCUAGGUGAUCUGCCUUGCCUAGUGUUGACACAAAUGGGCAGUGUAAACCUUAAACUGCUGUAAACACCUCUAAAAUGUGGCCUUCCUUACAUGGUCAGCGAUGAGGGCUUGACGCCCGUCAUCUGAUAAGCUAGGGUCAGGAGUCAUUCCACCGCUUUGCUUUUUCUUUGAAUUUCUAAGAGCCGAAAACUUUUAAUGUUUUACAUGAGUAAAUUACCUAAACAUGUACAGUCCUUUUGCACAUAUUAACCCAUCAGGGGCCAAAGUGAGUCCGGGAAGGCUCCCUAAACAGUCAGGGGCUGUUCACUGGGUGUGUUAUGACUGCAAGACCUCGUUUUGGUGAGAAUAUGAGAUGUAAUUUGGAGAGCUUGUGUUGCAUGGUAGUCACAUGAGCCUUCUUAGCAAGGAGCCAGAGGGCAGGAUGUUAAGCAAAUGGCUGGAUGUUUUUUCAAAUGGUGGCAAUGUCUAUCUCAGAGUCAGAAACUCAUCAGUAGGACUUUGAUGAAGGAAGAAUAUUUUUCUUAAAGCAAGAUACAUUUUAGUGAUAGAAUCAGCUCUUUAGUUUAUUCUCUUAUGUAUAUAUAUCUACACACACAUACACAUACAUAUAUAAUGGCUGUUUUAUAGUGUCUUGGAGAUUUAGGUCAUCAGGUUUCCUUCAUGCCACUAUUUGGAAUUCAGUGAGAUCAGGUGGCUAGGGAAAAGAACAAUAAAUUAUAACAACAGCUUCCUUUAUAGUCACCAUGUAGAAGAUGACUUAUUCACUGAGUCAUAAAGUCAUAAACCAAAAUGUCUUGGUAAAGAAAAAUUUUAAUUGAUACUGAUACAUGUUUAUUCUGUUCCAGGUCUACCUUAUAAUCACUGAGGAUGGGAGAGGGCACAGUGUGUGUAACAGAUAUGUCAAUUCUUUGGACAAGGUGCUGUGGGAACACAGAGGACUGGGGUCCCUUGGAUAUAGGAGGUUUCCCUGUGUUGGUCUCCUACCAUCUCUCCUUGUGCUUCAGUCAGUGCAUGAGAGUAGAUAGGGGAAAUACCAGAUUCACUAUACUAGGGCUUUUAAGAAUAUUUACAAUCUUAAAAUUUUACACCCAGAAUAGGUCACUGAGAGCCUGUAAUCCUACAAGAUUUCAGAGCUGUUCAUUGCACUUUCUGUAGCAACUCUUUCAUCAAUCUGAUCAUGCUCUUAAUUCCAGAUUUGGUGUUGUAGGUAGCCAAAAUACUCGUGAGGAUUCGGUUAAUGCAACUCAAAAGCCAGCUUUCUCCUUUCGAUCACAGAUUCAAAUUCUACAAUUUGGAAUCCAUGGGCACUUCUAGAUUGGGUCUUGCAGAGAUUUUUUUUUUUUUUUUAACAACAGAAAGAAUGAGAAGGCAAAAGAAAACAUUUAGUAAUAAUCAACCCAAGCAAAUUGAGCCUCUUUCUGCAGAAGGCAAGUAGUUCUAAAUAAAUAGAAUAUUUGGCAAUUUUUUUCUGUCCACAUUGUUUGACUCCAUUCUGGGCCAAAAUGAUUUGUGACUAAACACAGGCAAAAACAAAGUUUAUUUUUAACCUGUCUAGCACUGAGGGGAUUGGCUCAUGAUCCAGAGGAGAUGUGAAUUCUUAUCCUUUAUCUAAUAUUUAACACUGUCUCACACUGGGGAGUGGUGAUGGUUCAAUUUCUAGCACUGAUUUCCUAUUGAGACUGUGGUUUCCUUCACUGAUUAUAAAAUUCUCUCCCGUCUUACCCUCAACUCCAACCAACCCAGAGUUUUUCUUCAAAGCCACUCUCUACUUGACAUACAUAUGAGCUUGACAAUAAAAUCCCUUGGAUAUAUAUUGUGAAAGUUGAGUGCAUUUUCUAUAUUUUACAUUAUAUUCUUGUUUCUGGGUCACCAAAAUAUAAUGUGUUAUAAUUUAGAAAUUCAUUUCCACAAAUAACUUAACUAACUGUAAGUCUAGACUCAUGAAACUUGGGUAUAGGCCAGGCAAGUAGCUUUUGCUUAUAAUCCCAGGACUUUGGGAGGCAGAGGCCAGCAGAUUGCUUGAGCCCAGGACUUAGAGAUCAGCCUUGGUAAUAUGGUGAAAUCUCAUCUCUACAAAAAAUAUACAAUUAGCAGAGUCUGUUGGAAUACGCCAGUAGUCUCAGCUACUUAGGAGGCUAAAAUGGGAGGAUCACUUGAACCUGGGAGGUCAAGACUGCAGUGAACCAAGAUCACACCACUGUACUUCAUUCUGGCCAACAAAGCGAGACCCUGCCUCAAAGGAAAAAAAAAGAAAAAGAAAAGAAAAAGAAACUUGCAUAUAAUUGUAAGGUAGAGCAACAAACCUAGGGUUUUACCUGGAGUUCCCAUACCAUGUGACCUUUCAAAAUUGACCUUGCACAAAUCAUACUGAAAAGGUAUGUUUCACAACUUUUUUCCCUCGUCUCACUCAUCAAAUAUAUUUUCCUCACAGGAAUAUCUAGUACUAUCGAAGUGGAUAAUUAACAUUCAAGGUGCUAAGACCAUGUCCACAUGAUGAAAAGUGUUUUGGAAAAGAAUAAAUGAGUGCAUUACUAAUGAAAGAUUUUUUUUUUUCCUUUACAAAAAGUCACUGAAUUAUGCUAUCCCGGCAGCCCACUGUCUGAUGCAUUGAUAAAUGGAGGAAAAGACAAUCACAUUAAGAACAUGAGAACAUCAUUUGCAAUCCUGAAAGUCAGUAUUUAGAAUCAACAAGCAGGGAACUUUCUCUUAAAAUUAGAGAUAAUAACCCACCCAACUGGGCAGCAGCAAUGUGCUCAAUUGAAGAUAGAAAAACAAGACAUAUUUUCCACAUUACGAGCCUUUAGUCCAAGGAAGUGUUUUUCAAAUGAUGUUGGCUGAGACCCUGAGUAAUAAAUACAUUUUACACUGCAACACAAAUGCAAAUAACUGUUGAAACAUCCAUACAUAAUUGAAACGAAAGUUUCCAAAGUAAAGUUCACUCUACUAUCUGCAAUAUGCAUGUAUUUUCCAUUGUAUUCUAUUUCACUUUAAUAAAUGCUAGUUGCAAACCAUAAAAUUGAUAUCCCUAAUGGGGAGGAGGUUUGGUCCACAGUUUGCAAAACAGUUAUUUAGCAAUUAUAGUCAUCUACACUUUUGGAAAAUGUAGCAGAUGGACUAAGAAACUUCCACAAAAAUAUAUAUUCAUAAGCUGAGUGAACCAAAGACCACUUUAAGGAUACAGUGUGACAUAUGAUAGGGGCUCAGUAUAAAUUUGAAGAAAUAAUUAAAAGAACAUAGUAGAAAAGGCCAGGUGUGGUGUCUCAUGCCUGUAAUCCCAACACUUUGAGAGACCAAGGCAGGUGGAUCACCUGAGACCAGGAGUUCGAGAGCAGCCUAGCCAACAUGAUGAAACCUGAUCUCUGCUAAAAAUGUGAAAAUUAGCCAGGCAUGGUGGCACAGUAAUCUCAGCUACUCGGGAAGCUUGAUCCUGGGGAGGCAGAGAUUGUAGUGAGCAGAGAUCGCGCCACUGCACUCCAGCCUGAAUAACAGAGUGAGACUACAUCUCAAAUAAAAUAAAAUAAAAUAAAAUAAAAACAACAUAGCAGAAAAGAAGAUACUGUGGAUAAGCCAUAACAGCAGGUGAGCAGAUAAGGCAGCUGAAAUGAGCCUCAAGCAAUUUAGAGGUGGCCUAGUUUCGGCAAAGAUUUUAGGCUGAUUAUAAAGCAAAAUGGCAACUGGUAUGAUUUUAAGUGCUAAAUAUUUUUGUAAAAAAGUAGUGAGCGAUUGAGGAAAGUUUAAAGCCUUUUGUGACGGAUGGAUGUGGCUUUGAAUCCUAGAUUUCCCACUUGCCAGCUUUGUCAAUGUGUCACAUUCUCCACCACAUCUUGUGUGGUCUUUGAUAGUGGGGUGAUGAUAUCCAGCUAACCAGGUUAUGAUAAAAAUUUAUAACAAUGAUCCAUAUAAAGAACAUUAUAGGGCCUAAUAUGUAGCAAACGCUAAAGAAGUAAAUCAAGAAAUAUAAUUUUUUGUGUUAGAUGUUGGUUAAAUUGUUGUUGUUUUUUUGUUAGUUUGUUUUACCCAACCUAUGGCUUUAGCUUUCUUUUAUGCUAAGUGAAUCUGCCCUUCAAAAUGUUUCGUCAGGCACUAACAUACCUUCUCUGCCCAAAUUGUUAACUAGCGGAUAAUCAGGAUGACUCCACCUUUGUACCUGACUGAGGAAAUUAGUGAACCCUGAAGAAAUGAAGAUUAAAGAGACAAUGAAGACAGGAGACAUCGGGCUGUGCUCUUCUAGAUAUGACAGGGAGCAAAUAAGCCAACUCCAGAUGUAACCAAAGCGGUGCAUAUGCUAUCUAAGUACAAAGAAGAACGAAGAGGUGGAAGUUUGAGGCAGCUUUCCAAACCAUUUUUCUGCAUUUGUUUUCCAUCUUAGUUGUAUGCCUUAAACAAAUACACCAGCUGUCUUCAUUGAGCCUUCUGGAGCAUCUCCACAUUCCACGAGUACCCAUGAAUCUGUGCCUACAUACACACAUCAAUUGUUUGGAGUCCCAUUUCUUAGAAAGAUGAAGAUUGACCCUGAUUCUUUAAGUGCUGGGAAUAUUACCAUAAUAAAUGGCAUCACUACGUGAUAAGAGCAAAUGUGUGAUUGCAGUCAACAUAUUUUCUACAUCAUUAAUGAGAGACUAGCAGCUUGGAUACACAGCAGUCUACAGUCAGUGACUAAGCAGGACUCUGUGAAGUGAGGAAAUAGUUCUGACCAACCCCAGGGAGAUGGUUAUAAUACGGAGUAUAAGCUGCCCUGCAGUGAUUUGGUAUUGCACACAAUUUCCAUCAUAUACACAAUUUUCAAACUCCUUUAUAUUCUAAAAGGCCACCUGAACAUAAGUGGUCAAAAGACCUUCUUUUUUCUACCUUCAUUCUUCCUCUGUUCUUUUCAUUGGAUCUUCGAUUCUGAGAAGUCUGACCCACAGAAAGGAGGAGGCUUAACUCCAGGAAUGCUCCCUAUUCUCUGUCUCUUUCAUCUUUCUUCUCACUCCCUCCAUAUGGCUUCGCAGAAGCAUCAAUGAUGCCUUUUCUUUUCUCCUCUUCUUCAAUCUAUUCCACACAACCCCAUGUCCUUGGAUAAGCCGCCAACAAAAGUCUGAAGAUGGUUUGCAAUGGAAAUGGAUUAUUGAAGACAGAGUCCUCUCAUAAAUUUUACAUUUUAUACCCCUGUGAUGUUGCCGUUCUUAAAAUUGAUAAGAAAAACAGGAAAUUUACAUAAUUCCUGUGAGUUUCUAGGACAAAUGAGUUUAUGACUAUGAAGUACCUUGUAAUCUAAUCUAUAGAACUGUAGGUAAAUAUAAUUGGGUGUUAUUAAUGUUGUUGUCACCAUCUUUCUUGUUUUCUGAGCAGUGAUAAUCCUAAGAAAAUUAAAAGUAAGCUAAGUUCAAGUUGAGAGAGCAAGAGAAAGCCACAUGGGUGGUUGCAGUUCACUUUAUGGUGGGCCCCCAAGAAGCUGAGGCAUCUGCUCACCCAGCUGCUGAGCAGCUGAGUUAGGAAUCAGACUCCUAGCUUUUGUUUCAGAAUCAAGACAUGCCCCUGGAGACUCAGCCCUGAGAGCUAUGCUUUAACCCUCAGAGCCCUGCUCUUUGCCUGGAUGUUCACCUCUGAGGUCACUCUCCCAUCCAGCACCUUUCUUCCCAUUGUUCCUUCCCCAGCCCCUGCCCUACCCUGAUUGAUGAAGUUGCUGCCAGGGACCAGGAUGCCACUCUCCCAUAGUUUAUUAUGAACAAGGGGAGAAAAGUGGGAAGUAAAUAUGUAAGAGGGGUCUUUCAUAUCUAGCUGCCCGAGCCAAUCCACUGAACACCCAUUACAUAUGCUGGCUAAGCUUCCAUUGGUCUUUCCCCAUUAGAACAAUGACAGUCUCCAAGUAUAUGUGGGUUAUGGGUUUUGGAACAUGGCGACAGUGGAUAAUGGUUUUUAUGGGAAAAUGCAUUUUGGGAUGGAAACCGCCAACUUAGCAACAAACGUUUAGGACUUCAUGCUGUCCACAAAUUGAGGACUAUCUUUCACUUAUGCAGCAGUUACAAUUCCAUAGCCAGAAAUACUGACAUCCCAUUAAGGAAGAGCAAGAAGCAAUGGGGAAAACACCCUGAAAACUACAAUAAUUUUUAAUGCCAAGAGAGAGGAGCAGCAAACAUUACAAGAACAACGUACAGCAAAAUCUGCCAAAUAAUGGGGAGUUCCUCACACAUGAAGCUCAUUUCCAGAGAAACAACAGAUCUGUUUAAAGAUGACUCUUAAGGAUAUUUUAUUUGACUUUGUCCAAAAUUUUGGACUUUUCUGCAACCAUAUUCUAAGAGAUGAGCUUCAUUAAAAAUAUAAAACCAGAUGGGCACAUUGGCUCACAACUGUAAUCCCAGCAGUUUGGGAUGCUGAGGUGAGAGGAUCCCAUGAGCCCAGGAGUUUGAGAUCAGCCUGGGCAACAUAUGGAAACCCUAUCUCUACCAAGAAAAAAAAAAUAAUAAAGCUGGGCGUGUUGGUGAGUAGCAAGUGCCUAUGGUUCUAGCUACUAAGGAGAAAAAAAUAUAUAUUUUUUAAACUAUGAAUUCAAAUGAUAUGUAUUGCUUUAUUGUUGUUACAUAGUGAUGCACAAUCAGUGAAGAAAUAAUUAAAACAAUAAAACGAUUAAAAAGAAAAUAUGGGCCAGGCACACUGGCUCAUGUGUAUAAUCCAAGCACAUUGGAAGACUGAGAUGGGAAGAUCAGUUGAAUGUCAAAGUUCAAGACCAGGCUGGGCAACAAAAUGAGACCCUGUCUCCAAAAAAAAAAAAAAAAAAAAAAGGAAAAAUUAGCCAGUUACGGUAUGGUGGCACACAGACUUACAGUUCUCCCAGCUACUGGAGAGGAUGAGGUGAGAGGAUGGCCUGAGCCCAGGAGUUUGAGGAUGCAGUGAGCUAUGAUUAUGCUACUGUACUCCAGCCUGAGUGCCAGAGUGAGACUUACUCUCCAAGAAAAUAAAUUUGAAAACACAAGAGAAGAAAAGGAAAUAUGACCUAAAUAAAUUUAGUGACCUCUACAAACCUUUUAGAGAACAUGUAU